RNAcentral lists this ribosomal RNA (253 nucleotides) under uncultured bacterium. Its description in RNAcentral is "partial 16S ribosomal RNA". It matches the Rfam family "Bacterial small subunit ribosomal RNA", at positions 524 to 776 of the family's 1533-position model. The record is from RNAcentral.
GACGAACCGUGCGAACGUUAUUCGGAAUCACUGGGCUUAAAGCGCGUGUAGGCGGCCCGGCACGUCCGUCGCUGAAAUCCCCCGGCUCAACCGGGGAAGUGGCGUGGAUACGGCCGGGCUGGAGGGGGGUAGGGGGAGCCGGAACUUCCGGUGGAGCGGUGAAAUGCGUUGAGAUCGGAAGGAACGCCCGUGGCGAAAGCGGGCUCCUGGACCCCACCUGACGCUGAGACGCGAAAGCCAGGGAGCGAACGGG